UUCUCAAUCCCCACCUCCACCCGCAGCUCCGCCACCGAGUCAUCCUUCUUCCUCCAGUUUUUGGAUGAUCACAACAAAGACCCCCAAUCCCUCCCCGCAUCGGCCACCACUCUUGCGAACUGGACCCUCAGCAGGUGGGCGUGUAUUUUCUCCGAGUGAAGGUGGGACGCUCCACUCUGCCCUUGUCUCCUCAGGACGCACUAGCUUGCUGGGUUUGUUUGGUUCCUAAGGUACUCUCCUCACCAGCUCCUGAGUAACUGCGGGGAUGCAAAGCUGGCGAGGAACGCGCUUAGCAAAUGUAUUCGCGCAGCCGUGUGGGCUCCAUCUCUCCUGAUGGAGUCAACAGGCCUUCACGGAAUCGACCCACUGGUCAAAGUAUGGGAGACCCUCGAGGGGGUACUGGGGACUCAUACCCAGCUGGCUGGCACCUCAGCAGGUUUGUUAUGACAGUGAGUGCCCACAUGUGGUACCUGCUGGCCACCAGUCUUCUGUCAUCCAUCCUGGUAUGGCCUCUGCCUCCUACGGCCCCCCCCCCAAGAGGACAUGAAAGCUGAAGUCCUGGCCUCACGUGCUCCAGACCCAAGCCAGGGCUGACUGCUGACAAGACAUGAGGCAGUGAGAGAGCAUUUUAUGAAGAGAAGAAACUGAGGACAAAAAGGCACUGCUUUGUACUAUCACACUGUCCACAAAGGCUUGGCGGCCCCUCGGACAAGGAUGCUCGAAGAUCAUAGAAGCCAAUGGGUUCUAUCAUGUUGCAACAAGUCACUGUGGAACUGGCUGGCUCCUCAUGCCUAAAACCUUAGCUUUCCCAAGUGUCUUCGUUUGAAUAUGUUUGGCCCAGGGCGUGGCAUUCUUUGGAGGUGUGGCCUUGUCGGAGUGGGUGUGUCACUGUGGGUGU
RNAcentral lists this small RNA (898 nucleotides) under Rattus norvegicus (Norway rat). RNAcentral describes it as "uncharacterized LOC108350055". Lineage: Eukaryota; Metazoa; Chordata; Mammalia; Rodentia; Muridae. The record is from RNAcentral.